This 511-nucleotide ribosomal RNA is filed under the name uncultured bacterium. RNAcentral's name for it is "bacterial SSU rRNA". It matches the Rfam family "Bacterial small subunit ribosomal RNA", at positions 338 to 848 of the family's 1533-position model. The record is from RNAcentral.
CCUACGGGAGGCAGCAGUAAGGAAUAUUGGUCAAUGGACGAAAGUCUGAACCAGCCAUGCCGCGUGAAGGAUUAAGGCCCUCUGGGUUGUAAACUUCUUUUAUCUGGGACGAAAAAAGGGUAUUCUUACUCACUUGACGGUACCAGAGGAAUAAGCACCGGCUAACUCCGUGCCAGCAGCCGCGGUAAUACGGAGGGUGCAAGCGUUAUCCGGAUUUACUGGGUUUAAAGGGCGCGUAGGUGGGCUUGUAAGUCAGUGGUGAAAUCUCCGGGCUUAACCCGGAAACUGCCAUUGAUACUAUAGGUCUUGAAUUAUCUGGAGGUAAGCGGAAUAUGUCAUGUAGCGGUGAAAUGCUUAGAUAUGACAUAGAACACCAAUUGCGAAGGCAGCUUACUACGGAUAUAUUGACACUGAGGCACGAAAGCGUGGGGAUCAAACAGGAUUAGAUACCCUGGUAGUCCACGACCUAACGAUAGAUACUACGACAUACAGCGAUACACUGUUGUGUCUG